RNAcentral lists this ribosomal RNA (253 nucleotides) under uncultured bacterium. Its description in RNAcentral is "partial 16S ribosomal RNA". It matches the Rfam family "Bacterial small subunit ribosomal RNA", at positions 524 to 776 of the family's 1533-position model. The record is from RNAcentral.
UACGGAGGGUGCGAGCGUUGUCCGGAAUCACCGGGCGUAAAGGGCGCGUAGGCGGCCUGAUAAGUAGGGGGUGAAAUCCUGCGGCUUAACCGCAGGGCUGCCUUCUAAACUGUCAGGCUAGAGCACAGUAGAGGCAGGUGGAAUUCCCGGUGUAGCGGUGGAAUGCGUAGAGAUCGGGAAGAACAUCAGUGGCGAAGGCGGCCUGCUGGGCUGUUGCUGACGCUGAGGCGCGACAGCGUGGGGAGCAAACAGG